AACGCUGGCGGCAGGCCUAACACAUGCAAGUCGAGCGAGACCUUCGGGUCUAGCGGCGGACGGGUUAGUAACGCGUGGGAACGUGCCCUUCUCUGCGGAAUAGCCACUGGAAACGGUGAGUAAUACCGCAUACGCCCUUCGGGGGAAAGAUUUAUCGGAGAAGGAUCGGCCCGCGUUAGAUUAGAUAGUUGGUGGGGUAACGGCCUACCAAGUCUACGAUCUAUAGCUGGUUUUAGAGGAUGAUCAGCAACACUGGGACUGAGACACGGCCCAGACUCCUACGGGAGGCAGCAGUGGGGAAUCUUAGACAAUGGGCGCAAGCCUGAUCUAGCCAUGCCGCGUGUGUGAUGAAGGUCUUAGGAUCGUAAAGCACUUUCGCCAGGGAUGAUAAUGACAGUACCUGGUAAAGAAACCCCGGCUAACUCCGUGCCAGCAGCCGCGGUAAUACGGAGGGGGUUAGCGUUGUUCGGAAUUACUGGGCGUAAAGCGCGCGUAGGCGGAUUGGAAAGUUGGGGGUGAAAUCCCGGGGCUCAACCCCGGAACUGCCUCCAAAACUAUCAGUCUAGAGUUCGAGAGAGGUGAGUGGAAUUCCAAGUGUAGAGGUGAAAUUCGUAGAUAUUUGGAGGAACACCAGUGGCGAAGGCGGCUCACUGGCUCGAUACUGACGCUGAGGUGC
RNAcentral lists this ribosomal RNA (676 nucleotides) under bacterium T472. Its description in RNAcentral is "bacterial SSU rRNA". It matches the Rfam family "Bacterial small subunit ribosomal RNA", at positions 32 to 754 of the family's 1533-position model. The record is from RNAcentral.